UGAGGAAUAUUGGUCAAUGGGCGCAAGCCUGAACCAGCCAUCCCGCGUGCAGGAAGAAGGCGCUAUGCGUUGUAAACUGCUUUUCCAGGGGAAGAAAACUUCCAUCGUGAUGGGACUUGCCGGUACCCUGGGAAUAAGCAUCGGCUAACUCCGUGCCAGCAGCCGCGGUAAUACGGAGGAUGCAAGCGUUAUCCGGAUUUAUUGGGUUUAAAGGGUGCGUAGGCGGAUUAAUAAGUCAGUGGUGAAAACCUGCAGCUUAACUGUAGAACUGCCAUUGAUACUGUUAGUCUUGAGUACGGUCAAGGUAGGCGGAAUGUGUAAUGUAGCGGUGAAAUGCUUAGAUAUUACACAGAACACCGAUUGCGAAGGCAGCUUACUGGGCCAUUACUGACGCUGAUGCACGAAAGCGUGGGGAGCGAACAGG
Molecule: ribosomal RNA, 424 nt
Filed under: uncultured Bacteroidota bacterium
Lineage: Bacteria; Pseudomonadati; Bacteroidota
Description: bacterial SSU rRNA
Rfam family: Bacterial small subunit ribosomal RNA
Source: RNAcentral